UGGGGAUUGAACCCAGGGCCUUGUACGUUCAAGGUAAACACUCUAUGAACUGAGCUACAACCCCAGCUGAGACUGAUAACUUUUCCAAGUCAGUAUUGUCUGACUUUGCAAAUAGAUCCAGAAAGAUCUUUGUGAUGGCCUGCAGAGGUUCUGUCUCAUUGGCUUGGGUGGGGUCUGGGAUCUGGGCCUCCUCAUGGCUACUCUACUUUACAAGUAUAAAACCUCACAGAGCCUGGGACCCAGAAAAUUCUCAGUAGGUGUUAGUUGAAUCUGCUCUUGAUCUUAUCCAAUGUAAACUCAAAAUGCUGUGGAGAUGAGAGAUGGACAUGUUAACUUGGUACGGAUUGUGGGGCACAGUGCCCGUUCUCCCUGUGAAUCCCUGGGAACUGAUGUGUGUCCCAGAAUUUGUAUUCCUAAGCUGAGACUGGAGCUAUACACUGCAAAGUAAGACAUCUAUCAUUUGUUUUAGUGUUGCUCUAAUUAAAAAUGAGUUUUCAAGUUCUGAAGAUGAAAUCAGGGUUAAGUCCUUUGCUUCUGAAUGAGUGGGGGGGUCUCCUCAGAGGGCCCAGCCUCAGGGUCGUGAAAGCAAGGCUAACUCAUUCUACUUCCUUCUAGACCCCAGGAAUGAGGAAUGGGAGGACCCCCUGCAUCCUGGGAAACAGGCCCAGCCCCACCCAGCUGGUCCCACCCCCUGCAGUAGGAGGAGUUAC
RNAcentral lists this long non-coding RNA (710 nucleotides) under Marmota monax (woodchuck). The record is from RNAcentral. Lineage: Eukaryota; Metazoa; Chordata; Mammalia; Rodentia; Sciuridae.